GGGCACGUAGGCUAGUCUGGACUAGGCUAGAGGCCUUCGGAGCCUCCGACUGGGGUUCAAAUCCCCACGUGCCCG
Molecule: transfer RNA, 75 nt
Filed under: Methanobacteriota archaeon
Lineage: Archaea; Methanobacteriati; Methanobacteriota
Description: Euryarchaeota archaeon (sediment metagenome) tRNA-Arg
Rfam family: tRNA
About the family: Transfer RNA (tRNA) molecules are approximately 80 nucleotides in length.
Source: RNAcentral